RNAcentral lists this unclassified non-coding RNA (345 nucleotides) under soil metagenome. RNAcentral describes it as "partial contains 5.8S ribosomal RNA, internal transcribed spacer 2, and large subunit ribosomal RNA". The stretch from base 1 to 121 matches the Rfam family "5.8S ribosomal RNA", at positions 35 to 154 of the family's 154-position model. The record is from RNAcentral.
GAUGAAGAACGCAGCGAAAUGCGAUAAGUAAUGCGAAUUGCAGAAUUUCCGUGAGUCAUCGAAUCUUUGAUCGCACAUUGCGCCCACUGGUAUUCCGGUGGGCAUGCCUGUUCGAGCGUCAUUAUCCUCCCUCAAACCCCGGGUUUGGUGUUGGACCCAAGUUGUGUGAACAACUGGUCUCAAAGACAAUGACGGCGUCCGUGGGACCCUCGGUGCAACGAGCUUUUAGGAGCACGCAUCGAGUUGCAAGGACCUUCCGGGCCGGUCUCCUUUACCAUUUUACAAGGUUGACCUCGGAUCAGGUAGGAAUACCCGCUGAACUUAAGCAUAUCAAUAAGCGGAGGA